Taeniopygia guttata (zebra finch) is the source of this 426-nucleotide long non-coding RNA. Lineage: Eukaryota; Metazoa; Chordata; Aves; Passeriformes; Estrildidae. The record is from Ensembl.
CUGCCAUUUGUUGUGUGGGGAGGGGGCUUCUUGUCAUUUUUUUGUGUGGGGUGGGGCUGUCUGCCGUCAGGUUGGGGUGGAGGAGGCUGCCCACCAUGUCACAUAAGGCAGAUGGAAUUAUGUAUGGCAGAUCACUUACCAUGGUAACAUAGAUUAUGACAGCUGAGCCAUUGACUUUUUUAUACUUAAGAUCCAGUGGAAGCCACGGAAAAACUAUAAAAGAUCUCGCCUUCUUGAGGAAGGAACAUCCAGUAAUCCUGUUCUACCUGACAAGUGCUCUGCUCAGCUGGCAUCGAGCUCCUGUUCCGAAGAAAAUAGCCUCAAACCAGGUCUGAAAGGCGGUCUGGACCCACAGCUACACCAUCUGUGACCCCGAAGGUAAUCUCCACAGAGUUGCCUUGUUUGGGUUUACUUGAGUUUCAGAGU